AUAUAUCAACCUUCUCUUGUUUGAGAGGUUUGGAUGUGGGGGUUUGCUGGCAUCUUAAAUGAUUCAGCUCCCCUGAAAUGCAUUAGCAGAACAACCUGUUCAUUGGCGUGAUAAUUAUCUAUGCUAUUGAAUGCGAGGGGCAGUUCAGCUUUCUAACCGUCCUUGGACAAUUCAUCAUUA
RNAcentral lists this unclassified non-coding RNA (180 nucleotides) under uncultured Cortinarius. Its description in RNAcentral is "sequence contains ITS2". The record is from RNAcentral. Lineage: Eukaryota; Fungi; Basidiomycota; Agaricomycetes; Agaricales; Cortinariaceae.